AAUUGAGAAAUGUUGAUAUUGAAGUUGCAAUGAGUCUUGGUAUUUUCCAGAUGGUUUUGAUGAGUUAAAUUGUUUAAAAUAUUAUGUAUUGAGUCUUCAUAUCCUUGUCCAAAUGUCGAGUCAGUUAUGGUUCAACGCAUUGAUACCUUGUUGAUGUUGAGGAAGAUUAAAAUGUUUUGAGCUAAAAUGUGUUGAGUUAGGAA
This 203-nucleotide long non-coding RNA is filed under the name Capsicum annuum. RNAcentral describes it as "long non-coding RNA (CANN_LNC008350)". The record is from RNAcentral. Lineage: Eukaryota; Viridiplantae; Streptophyta; Magnoliopsida; Solanales; Solanaceae.